Molecule: ribosomal RNA, 505 nt
Filed under: uncultured bacterium
Lineage: Bacteria
Description: partial 16S ribosomal RNA
Rfam family: Bacterial small subunit ribosomal RNA
Source: RNAcentral
AGUGAACGCUGGCGGUAGGCCUAACACAUGCAAGUCGAACGGCAGCACAGGAGAGCUUGCUCUCUGGGUGGCGAGUGGCGGACGGGUGAGGAAUACAUCGGAAUCUACUUUUUCGUGGGGGAUAACGUAGGGAAACUUACGCUAAUACCGCAUACGACCUACGGGUGAAAGCAGGGGACCUUCGGGCCUUGCGCGAAUGCAUGAGCCGAUGGCGGAUUAGCUAGUUGGAGGGGUAAAGGCCCACAAAGGAGAGGAUCCGUAGCUGGUCUGAGAGAAGGAUCAGCAACACUGGAACGGAGAACCGGUCCAGACUCUUACGGAGGCAGCAGUGGGGAAUAUUGGACAAUGGGCGCAAGCCUGAUCCAGCCAUACCGCGUGGGUGAAGAAGGCCUUCGGGUUGUAAAGCCCUUUUGUUGGGAAAGAAAUCCAGCUGGCUAAUACCCGGUUGGGAUGACGGUACCCAAAGAAUAAGCACCGGCUAACUUCGUGCCAGCAGCCGCCGUAA